CGGGAUAUGGCGCAGUUUGGUAGCGCACCUGCUUUGGGAGCAGGGGGUCGCAGGUUCAAAUCCUGUUAUCCCGACUA
RNAcentral lists this transfer RNA (77 nucleotides) under Corynebacterium argentoratense DSM 44202. RNAcentral describes it as "tRNA-Pro". It matches the Rfam family "tRNA". From Rfam's summary of the family: Transfer RNA (tRNA) molecules are approximately 80 nucleotides in length. Their secondary structure includes four short double-helical elements and three loops (D, anti-codon, and T loops). The record is from RNAcentral. Lineage: Bacteria; Bacillati; Actinomycetota; Actinomycetes; Mycobacteriales; Corynebacteriaceae.